CAUCAAGUAGUUUAUUAAAAUAAAGGUUUUGGAGGCUUUAGAUAUCAAAAAUUGAUCUUGGUGA
Molecule: transfer RNA, 64 nt
Filed under: Japanagallia turriformis
Lineage: Eukaryota; Metazoa; Arthropoda; Insecta; Hemiptera; Cicadellidae
Description: tRNA-Pro
Source: RNAcentral